Non-coding RNA from Anolis carolinensis (green anole), 119 nucleotides. The record is from Rfam. NCBI's taxonomy places the organism in Eukaryota, Metazoa, Chordata, Lepidosauria, Squamata, Anolidae.
UAUAAUGGCCUAAAUAUCUUCAGGACACCAAAUCCCAUAUUAUCUUCAAAACUAAGCAGAAUCGGUCCUGGUUAGUACUUGGAUGGGAAAUCACCAAUGAAUACCAUGUGCUGUAGACU